AAAUCUUAGUUCUCUCUCCUCCUCCACCUGAAGCAUUUCUAUAUUUCUAUCCUCCAAAUCACUAAUUCUGCCCUCCAUAACCACACUGGUCAGAGAGUCC
This is a non-coding RNA of Ceratotherium simum simum (southern white rhinoceros), 100 nucleotides long. Lineage: Eukaryota; Metazoa; Chordata; Mammalia; Perissodactyla; Rhinocerotidae. The record is from RefSeq and is a predicted model, not a curated record.